Molecule: non-coding RNA, 24 nt
Filed under: Arabidopsis thaliana (thale cress)
Lineage: Eukaryota; Viridiplantae; Streptophyta; Magnoliopsida; Brassicales; Brassicaceae
Source: RNAcentral
CUAAGCUUGUCCUUGGACUAAUAU